UUGUCUAGAAAUUAAAAAAAAAAAAAACUCAUACAAACAUUUUUUCCAUAUACAUAGUCUUCCCCGACGGAUUUCUUACUUCUUAGAAUUGCUGUUUUCUUUAAAAUGGCAGCUUCGACAAAUCGCAUGGUUCGUUUACAGGGUGGCAAUUGGGAGGAAACGCAUUUUCGUUUGCUUGUGUGCGUUUUUGUCGAUUUACGUGUGAAUAUGUGUGCGUUCCUAACGAAGUCACGGCUGUGUGUUUUAAUAUCAAACCAGAACAAGAAGGGCAAGUCAAGCCAAAAGAAGGACCUUUUUUUAUUUGUGUUGUUUCCCAUCGUGCGUUCGGUGCCUGCAAAGGAUAAAAACGAAUGUAUGUAUUUGUGUGCGUUUGAACAUUUUUUUGUUUUUGUCGAAUUCUUUGUAACCAUUGUUGUUGUUGGCUUUUUGCUUUGACUUGAAAUUCCAUUCGUAUAGUUUA
Musca domestica (house fly) is the source of this 460-nucleotide long non-coding RNA. RefSeq lists it as uncharacterized. The transcript has 2 exons. The record is from RefSeq and is a predicted model, not a curated record. NCBI's taxonomy places the organism in Eukaryota, Metazoa, Arthropoda, Insecta, Diptera, Muscidae.